CAGGGAGACAGCAAAAUGUUUAAUAUUAUUAUUUUGUCACCUUAGGUCGAUCGGUAUCUCACGUUUUUAAUUUAUUAAGAAUUUCAUUUCCUAAGUUUUUUCUAGGUCACACCCAUUAUUUUUCCUGGGCCAUUAGCUCAGGUGGUUAGAGCGCACCCCUGAUAAGGGUGAGGUCCCUGGUUCAAGUCCAGGAUGGCCCAUAUCUCUAUGUUGGGGGUAUAGCUCAGUUGGUAGAGCGCCUGCUUUGCAAGCAGGAUGUCAGCGGUUCGAGUCCGCUCACCUCCACUGAUUACCACCUCUUCCAUAAUCUAUGAGAAGGAAAUGUUUUGAGUAGUGAUCAAAUUCUGAACGAAGCUAGCUUCCUAAUGAAAUCAUUAAGAUGCUGGACUCAUUGAAUUAAUUUCAUUGUUUUCAGAGAACCUUGACAACUGCAUAGAUUAUUUUUAAAGACAAUAAGCAUCUUUAAUGAUGCAGAUUUAUUAUUUGUGCGAAUGCAUUAAUAACAAUUCUAUUAAGCUGAUGCUUCAAUUUUUGAAGUUAUU
RNAcentral lists this transfer RNA (542 nucleotides) under uncultured cyanobacterium. RNAcentral's name for it is "partial 16S-23S ribosomal RNA intergenic spacer". The stretch from base 127 to 200 matches the Rfam family "tRNA". Lineage: Bacteria; Bacillati; Cyanobacteriota. The record is from RNAcentral.